Long non-coding RNA from Limulus polyphemus (Atlantic horseshoe crab), 306 nucleotides. RefSeq lists it as uncharacterized. Lineage: Eukaryota; Metazoa; Arthropoda; Merostomata; Xiphosura; Limulidae. The transcript is spliced from 3 exons. The record is from RefSeq and is a predicted model, not a curated record.
UUAUUUAUUAGAUGACGCUGUUGUUGCAGAAAGAGUAAUUUUAUUGGGAAUGUUAAUUUGCUAAAGAAGUACGAUGGCGGAUGAUGGUAGACAUGGAAGUAAUGCCGUCGAAGUUACUCACCAUUUCAAUGCUAAAAAUGCCAAACUUAUAGCAUUGAUUACUGUUGUGGGAUUUCUGGUUUACCACGGUCUAAUACAUGUAACAUAUGGAAUUGAUUCAUGCAAGUGGUUACUAAGUGAUGGACGGUUCCAAGGGUACCAGGUGUGGCAGCCUUAUGGUUGUAUGAUGCACUCCUACACCAAAAU